GUUAAUUCUUGGUAUUGUUCUUCUGAAACUUUGAGUCUUCACUCCUUUAUAUAGAGGUGUGAAAGAGACGUUGAAUUGUCAGCACAUUCAAAAUAGAGUCGUUUGAAGCUUUUGAUCAAUCACCAAUGAUCCUUUGCCUGAUAUGGUUAUUGUCCUAAGAAGGAUCAAUUUCAAAUGCAUUCCCAUUGAGAAGGAACAUU
This 200-nucleotide long non-coding RNA is filed under the name Medicago truncatula (barrel medic). RNAcentral describes it as "long non-coding RNA (MTRU_LNC004250)". Lineage: Eukaryota; Viridiplantae; Streptophyta; Magnoliopsida; Fabales; Fabaceae. The record is from RNAcentral.